ACGUACACUCCUACGGGAGGCAGCAUUGGGGAAUAUUGGACAAUGGGCGCAAGCCUGAUCCAGCCAUGCCGCGUGAGUGAUGAAGGCCCUAGGGUUGUAAAGCUCUUUCACCGGUGAAGAUAAUGACGGUAACCGGAGAAGAAGCCCCGACUAACUUCGUGCCAGCAGCCGCGGUAAUACGAAGGGGGCUAGCGUUGUUCGGAUUUACUGGGCGUAAAGCGCACGUAGGCGGACUAUUAAGUCAGGGGUGAAAUCCCGGGGCUCAACCCCGGAACUGCCUUUGAUACUGGUAGUCUUGAGUUCGAGAGAGGUGAGUGGAAUUCCGAGUGUAGAGGUGAAAUUCGUAGAUAUUCGGAGGAACACCAGUGGCGAAGGCGGCUCACUGGCUCGAUACUGACGCUGAGGUGCGAAAGCGUGGGGAGCAAACAGGAUUAGAUACCCCAGUAGUCCCAUG
RNAcentral lists this ribosomal RNA (454 nucleotides) under uncultured organism. Its description in RNAcentral is "partial 16S ribosomal RNA". It matches the Rfam family "Bacterial small subunit ribosomal RNA", at positions 329 to 799 of the family's 1533-position model. The record is from RNAcentral.